AGAGUUUGAUCAUGGCUCAGAUUGAACGCUGGCGGCACGCUUAACACAUGCAAGUCGAGCGGUAACAGGUGAUGUAGCAAUACAUUAUGCUGACGAGCGGCGGACGGGUGCGUAAUACGUAGGAACCUACCCUUUAGAGUGGGACAACCUGGGGAAACUCGGGCUAAUACCGCAUAAUCUCGCAAGAGGAAACGCCGCAGCAAUGCGGUGGCUGAAGGAGGGGCUUACGUCCGAUUAGCUAGUUGGUGGGGUAAAGGCUUACCAAGGCGAUGAUCGGUAGCUGGUCUGAGAGGACGACCAGCCACACUGGGACUGAGACACGGCCCAGACUCCUACGGGAGGCAGCAGUGGGGAAUCUUGGACAAUGGGGGCAACCCUGAUCCAGCGAUGCCGCGUGGGUGAAGAAGGCCUUCGGGUUGUAAAGCCCUUUAGGCCGGGAGGAAGGUAGAUAGCUGAAUAAGUUAUUUGCUUGACUGUACCGGCAGAAUAAGCACCGGCUAACUCUGUGCCAGCAGCCGCGGUAAUACAGAGGGUGCGAGCGUUAAUCGGAAUUACUGGGCGUAAAGGGCGCGUAGGUGGUAGCGUGUGAGUGAUGUGAAAGCCCCGGGCUUAACCUGGGAAGAGCAUCGCUAACUGCGCAACUAGAGUACAGCAGAGGGUGGCGGAAUUUCCGGUGUAGCGGUGAAAUGCGUAGAGAUCGGAAGGAACGUCGGUGGCGAAGGCGGCCACCUGGGCUGAUACUGACACUGAGGCGCGAGAGCGUGGGGAGCGAACAGGAUUAGAUACCCUAGUAGUCC
RNAcentral lists this ribosomal RNA (797 nucleotides) under uncultured bacterium. RNAcentral describes it as "bacterial SSU rRNA". It matches the Rfam family "Bacterial small subunit ribosomal RNA", at positions 8 to 796 of the family's 1533-position model. The record is from RNAcentral.